AGAAUCUGGCUGCCUUCAGCCAAAUCUUUGACUGAAGCUAUGCAAACCCCCUGGCCUUCCAAGAAGUAUUCAAUCCAGGUUUAAGUCCUUCAGCAUCUGACAUUCUCCUGGCAACUGUAAUUCAAUCAAUGAUGACUCAUCUGAGAUGAGCAAGUUGGUCCAGUCAGACCAAACAAAAGACACUCUAUAAUCAGGGGAGAAGUCUUCUCUAUAUCUUUCUUAUAUGAGCAAAUUUAAUGACCUCCACCAUGUCUAAGAACAAGCAGCUAUUUCUGUAGAGAAAGAUCACCUUUGGAUAACAAUACAUGAUUUUAGGCUCUAAAAGUUAAAACGUGUUUGUAACGUUGAUAUUAUGCAGAGGUCUUGACAGAACUUAGCAGUCUCUGAGGCUACAGAGAAGUGUGAAAAAGAGCAUAGAGAUUUCAGAAGGAGGCAGAUUCAGUCAGACAUACUGAAUCCUGUUUGAUCUCAAUUCAGGCACACUCCAGAUGGAUGUAUUGAACAGCACACUGGAGUUUUUGUCCAGAAGUUUGACUUUAGAAGAUAAGAAAUAACUGAGCGUAUUACAAGCAGGAGUUAGAGGAAGAGACUCAGUACAGAAGAGACAGGAACAAAAGUUCACCUCCAUUAGAUGGGAAAGGAUACAGAUCAAGAGCUCAGGAAAAGUAGGAGAAAGAAGCUCUAUUCCAGAAGCAGUGUGGAGCACAAAGAAUCCCUAAUCCCUGACAUUAAGAAAGAAGAAAAAUAUUCCUAGGACGAUCCUGGAGAGCAAAGGUCAUUAGCAGUCACU
Molecule: non-coding RNA, 790 nt
Filed under: Pongo abelii (Sumatran orangutan)
Lineage: Eukaryota; Metazoa; Chordata; Mammalia; Primates; Hominidae
Source: RNAcentral